RNAcentral lists this ribosomal RNA (468 nucleotides) under uncultured bacterium. RNAcentral's name for it is "partial 16S ribosomal RNA". It matches the Rfam family "Bacterial small subunit ribosomal RNA", at positions 28 to 507 of the family's 1533-position model. The record is from RNAcentral.
GACGAACGCUGGCGGCGUGCUUAACACAUGCAAGUCGAACGGAAAGGCCCUGCUUUUGCGGGGUGCCCGAGUGGCGAACGGGUGAGUAACACGUGAGUAACCUGCCCUUGACUUUGGGAUAACUUCAGGAAACUGGGGCUAAUACCGGAUAGGAGCUCCUGCUGCAUGGUGGGGGUCGGAAAGUUUCGGCGGUUGGGGAUGGACUGGCGGCUUAUCAGCUUGUUGGUGGGGUAGUGGCUUACCAAGGCUUUGACGGGUAGCCGGCCUGAGAGGGUGACCAGCGACAUUGGUACUGAGAUACGGCGCAGACUCCUACGGGGGGCAGCAGUGGGGAGUAUGGCACAAUGGGCGGAAGCCUGAGGCAGCGACGCCGCGUGCGGGAUGACGGCCUUCGGGUUGUAAACCGCUUUCGCCUGUGACGAAGCGUGAGUGACGGUAAUGGGUAAAGAAGCACCGGCUAACUACGUG